Molecule: ribosomal RNA, 228 nt
Filed under: uncultured bacterium
Lineage: Bacteria
Description: partial 16S ribosomal RNA
Rfam family: Bacterial small subunit ribosomal RNA
Source: RNAcentral
UGAGUAACCUGCCCUUCACUCUGGGAUAACUCCGGGAAACCGGGCUAAUACCGGAUACGACCUCGAGCGGCAUCACUUGAGGUGGAAAGUUUUUCGGCUAGGGAUGAGCCCGCGGCCUAUCAGCUUGUUGGUGAGGUAACGGCCCACCAAGGCGACGACGGGUAGCCGGCCUGAGAGGGCGACCGGCCACACUGGGACUGAGACACGGCCCAGACUCCUACGGGAGCA